Molecule: ribosomal RNA, 1219 nt
Filed under: metagenome
Description: bacterial LSU rRNA
Rfam family: Bacterial large subunit ribosomal RNA
Source: RNAcentral
UGCCUGUACCAUAACCGACACAGGUGGGUAAGUAGAGUAUACUAAGGGGCGCGAGAUAACCCUCUCUAAGGAACUCGGCAAAAUAACUCCGUAACUUCGGGAGAAGGAGUGCCUUAUUCUUAAGGUUGCAAUAACAAGAUCCAAGCAACUGUUUAUCAAAAACACAGGUCUCCGCUAAGUCGUAAGACGAUGUAUGGGGGCUGACGCCUGCCCAGUGCCAGAAGGUUAAAGAAGUCGGUUAGCAAUAGCAAAGCUGGUAACUGAAGCCCUGGUGAACGGCGGCCGUAACUAUAACGGUCCUAAGGUAGCGAAAUUCCUUGUCGGGUAAGUUCCGACCCGCACGAAAGGCGUAAUGAUUUGGAUGCUGUCUCGGAGAGGGGCUCGGUGAAAUAGACUUGUCUGUGAAGAUGCGGACUACCUGCACCAGGACAGAAAGACCCUAUGAAGCUUUACUGUAACUUGAAAUUGAAAUUGGACUUUAUUCGCGCAGUAUAGGUGGGAGGCGUUGAUUAUAAUCUUGUGGGAUUAUUGGAGCCAUCAGUGAGAUACCACUCUUGUAAUGUUAGAUUUCUAACUUUGAAUCAUUAUCUGGUCAAAGGACAGUUUCAGGCGGGCAGUUUGACUGGGGCGGUCGCCUCCUAAACGGUAACGGAGGCGUACAAAGGUUUCCUCUGAACGGUUAGAAAUCGUAUCUAGAGUGUAAAGGCAUAAGGAAGCUUGACUGUGAGACCUACAAGUCGAGCAGGGACGAAAGUCGGUCUUAGUGAUCUGACGGUACUGAGUGGAAAGGCCGUCACUCAACGGAUAAAAGUUACUCUAGGAUAACAGGCUGAUCUCCCCCAAGAGUUCACAUCGACGGGGAGGUUUGGCACCUCGAUGUCGGCUCAUCGCAUCCUGGGGCGGUAGUACGUCCCAAGGGUUGGGCUGUUCGCCCAUGAAAGCGGUACGCGAGCUGGGUUCAGAACGUCGUGAGACAGUUCGGUCCAUAUCCGGUGUAGGCGCUAGAAUAUUGAGAGGAGCCUUCUUUAGUACGAGAGGACCGAGAAGGACAUACCUCUGGUGUACCAGUUAUCGUGCCAACGGUAAACGCUGGGUAGCUAUGUAUGGAGUGGAUAACCGCUGAAAGCAUCUAAGUGGGAAGCCCACCUCAAGAUAAGUAUUCUCAUCACGUAAGUGAGUAAGGUCACGGUAAGACUAACCGUUUGACAGGCAUUAAGUG